UAUGACACUGACCCCUCAAUGCGG
RNAcentral lists this microRNA (24 nucleotides) under Pristionchus pacificus. RNAcentral describes it as "ppc-miR-65". Its record names the gene ppc-miR-65. Lineage: Eukaryota; Metazoa; Nematoda; Chromadorea; Rhabditida; Neodiplogasteridae. The record is from miRBase by way of RNAcentral.